Pseudophryne corroboree (corroboree frog) is the source of this 617-nucleotide long non-coding RNA. RefSeq lists it as uncharacterized. The record is from RefSeq and is a predicted model, not a curated record. The transcript has 5 exons. NCBI's taxonomy places the organism in Eukaryota, Metazoa, Chordata, Amphibia, Anura, Myobatrachidae.
GCAACCCACAGCACCGUUUUUAUUUCACAUAUUUCUGUUGGUUCCAUCGGGGGUGCUUGAGCACAAGUGACAGCAUUUAGGCAGCAGGCGGCCGCCCCUCGCUAGUAGCAGCCUCCAGUCCCGCCCCUCACCAGCUGCCGCGCACUAUGGAGCCGGAGGCAGCCACAGGUGCAGUGACUCCCCGCCAGCAGCAGUGCUAACCCGGGCGGAAGAUGCUGGAAACAGCGAGGAGCAGUAACCCCUCCACAGCAUCCUGGCCAGCGGGCAUCAGCAGAUAAGGUGGCGAAGGGCCCAGCAGCAGAUAAUGUGGCGAAGGGCCCGGCACCACUCUUUCACUGCCAUACCGGGGACCAGCGCCACAAGCAGCACCCCUGGACCAAUUCCUCCGCCGCCGGCAUUUGCGCACCCGCCUCGUCCUGGUACCGGCCAAGUUCCAGGACCAGGGCGCUAUGGCCCGGACAACCUGACUAGGGUCCAACUCCGGCGAUUGGUCCUUAUACUGAGGACAGUGGUCCGACAAAUGUUUUUGUAUAUUUUACGUUGUUUAUAAAAAAAAAUAUUUUUUUGUUUUUUUCCUUCCAGUUUUUUUAUUAAAGUUUUUAUAUAAUUUACAGUUA